UACGUAGGCAGCAAGCGUUGUUCGGAAUUACUGGGCGUAAAGAGUGUGUAGGCGGUGUUCCAAGUUCGGUGUGAAAUCUCCCGGCUUAACUGGGAGGGUGCGCCGAAAACUGGAAUGCUCGAGCGUGGGAGAGGGAAAGCGGAAUUCCUGGUGUAGCGGUGAAAUGCGUAGAUAUCAGGAGGAACACCAGCGGUGUAGACGGCUUUCUGGACCAUUGCUGACGCUGAGACACGAAAGCGUGGGUAGCAAACAGG
This 254-nucleotide ribosomal RNA is filed under the name uncultured bacterium. RNAcentral describes it as "partial 16S ribosomal RNA". It matches the Rfam family "Bacterial small subunit ribosomal RNA", at positions 524 to 776 of the family's 1533-position model. The record is from RNAcentral.